RNAcentral lists this small nuclear RNA (101 nucleotides) under Canis lupus familiaris (dog). The record is from RNAcentral. Lineage: Eukaryota; Metazoa; Chordata; Mammalia; Carnivora; Canidae. RNAcentral also lists the same sequence under 1 other name.
GUGGUUGCUCCCACAGUACAUAUACUAAAAUUGGAAUGACUCAGAGAAGAUUAGUAUGGCCCCUGUGCAAAAAGAUUAUCUAUGUACCAUCCAAUGUCAUC